Molecule: ribosomal RNA, 894 nt
Filed under: Cosmospora coccinea
Lineage: Eukaryota; Fungi; Ascomycota; Sordariomycetes; Hypocreales; Nectriaceae
Description: LSU rRNA
Rfam family: Eukaryotic large subunit ribosomal RNA
Source: RNAcentral
GCAUAUCAAUAAGCGGAGGAAAAGAAACCAACAGGGAUUGCCCUAGUAACGGCGAGUGAAGCGGCAACAGCUCAAAUUUGAAAUCUGGCCCUCGGGUCCGAGUUGUAAUUUGUAGAGGAUGCUUUUGGUGCGGUGCCUUCCGAGUUCCCUGGAACGGGACGCCAUAGAGGGUGAGAGCCCCGUCUGGUUGGACACCAAGCCUCUGUAAAGCUCCUUCGACGAGUCGAGUAGUUUGGGAAUGCUGCUCUAAAUGGGAGGUAUAUGUCUUCUAAAGCUAAAUACCGGCCAGAGACCGAUAGCGCACAAGUAGAGUGAUCGAAAGAUGAAAAGCACUUUGAAAAGAGGGUUAAAUAGUACGUGAAAUUGUUGAAAGGGAAGCGCUUGUGACCAGACUUGAGCCCGGUUAAUCAUCCAGCCUUCUGGCUGGUGCACUUGGCCGGCUCAGGCCAGCAUCAGUUCGGCGUGGGGGAUAAAGACUUCGGGAAUGUGGCUCCUUCGGGAGUGUUAUAGCCCGUUGUGUAAUACCCUGUACUGGACUGAGGUUCGCGCAUCUGCAAGGAUGCUGGCGUAAUGGUCAUCAGCGACCCGUCUUGAAACACGGACCAAGGAGUCGUCCUCGUAUGCGAGUGUUCGGGUGUCAAACCCCUACGCGUAAUGAAAGUGAACGCAGGUGAGAGCUUCGGCGCAUCAUCGACCGAUCCUGAUGUUCUCGGACGGAUUUGAGUAAGAGCAUACGGGGCCGGACCCGAAAGAAGGUGAACUAUGCCUGUAUAGGGUGAAGCCAGAGGAAACUCUGGUGGAGGCUCGCAGCGGUUCUGACGUGCAAAUCGAUCGUCAAAUAUGGGCAUGGGGGGCGAAAGACUAAUCGAACCUUCUAGUAGCUGGUUUCCGCCG